AACGAACGCUGGCGGCGUGGAUAAGACAUGCAAGUCGAACGAUUACUGUUGGGUAGCAAUAUUCGGCAGUGAGAGUGGCGCAAGGGUGCGUAACACGUGGGUAAUUUGCCGUGAAGUCUGGGAUAACUUGCUGAAAGGCGAGCUAAUACCGGAUGUGAUUUCUGGAAGGCAUCUUCUGGAACUUAAAGUCGGGGACCGUAAGGCCUGACGCUUCUCGAUAAGCCCGCGGCCUAUCAGCUAGUUGGUGAGGUAACGGCUCACCAAGGCUAAGACGUGUAGCUGGUCUGAGAGGACGACCAGCCACACUGGAACUGAGACACGGUCCAGACACCUACGGGAGGCUG
RNAcentral lists this ribosomal RNA (344 nucleotides) under uncultured Verrucomicrobiota bacterium. Its description in RNAcentral is "bacterial SSU rRNA". It matches the Rfam family "Bacterial small subunit ribosomal RNA", at positions 29 to 351 of the family's 1533-position model. The record is from RNAcentral. Lineage: Bacteria; Pseudomonadati; Verrucomicrobiota.